This 579-nucleotide ribosomal RNA is filed under the name Salmonella enterica subsp. enterica serovar Newport. RNAcentral's name for it is "partial 23S ribosomal RNA". It matches the Rfam family "Bacterial large subunit ribosomal RNA", at positions 69 to 688 of the family's 2925-position model. The record is from RNAcentral. Lineage: Bacteria; Pseudomonadati; Pseudomonadota; Gammaproteobacteria; Enterobacterales; Enterobacteriaceae.
CGAUAAGCGCCGGUAAGGUGAUAUGAACCGUUAUAACCGGCGAUACCCGAAUGGGGAAACCCAGUGUGAUUCGUCACACUAUCAUUAACUGAAUCCAUAGGUUAAUGAGGCGAACCGGGGGAACUGAAACAUCUAAGUACCCCGAGGAAAAGAAAUCAACCGAGAUUCCCCCAGUAGCGGCGAGCGAACGGGGAGGAGCCCAGAGCCUGAAUCAGCAUGUGUGUUAGUGGAAGCGUCUGGAAAGGCGCGCGAUACAGGGUGACAGCCCCGUACACAAAAGCGCAUGUGCUGUGAGCUCGAUGAGUAGGGCGGGACACGUGGUAUCCUGUCUGAAUAUGGGGGGACCAUCCUCCAAGGCUAAAUACUCCUGACUGACCGAUAGUGAACCAGUACCGUGAGGGAAAGGCGAAAAGAACCCCGGCGAGGGGAGUGAAAAAGAACCUGAAACCGUGUACGUACAAGCAGUGGGAGCACAGGUUUACCUGUGUGACUGCGUACCUUUUGUAUAAUGGGUCAGCGACUUAUAUUCUGUAGCAAGGUUAACCGAAUAGGGGAGCCGGAGGGAAACCGAGUCUUAAU